Molecule: long non-coding RNA, 2103 nt
Organism: Struthio camelus australis
Lineage: Eukaryota; Metazoa; Chordata; Aves; Struthioniformes; Struthionidae
Source: Ensembl
CAGCCACCACCACACCCAGCCACCACCACCACCACACCCAGCCACCACCACACCCAGCCACCACCACCACCCCCCGGCUAUUUUGGGUUCUCAUCCCGCCCUCAGACAGGCUGGGAGCUGCUCCCACAUUUUUCUUGUGAUGUUGCCCCACCACACCGACUCCGCGAUGCCCGUGACACCCAGGCCAGCGCUGCCUCAGCCUCUGUGGUGGAUUCGCUGGGCUGACAGCUGAGGGGAAGCGUUGGUAAGACCAAAGCUUCUCAACACGUUUCGCUUGGCUGGACCCUGGCUGGAAAAGCAAGGGGUUUCAUCUGACUUUUCUGUUUCUGUAGGACCCCUUGGGCUGCCCCCAGAAUGACGUGACCUCCCCGUACCUUUCCUGCCCUUUCAGGGAUGGGGGGGAGCAGGAAGAUGACACGCGCUUGCUGGGCGAGCGCAAGGCUGUUGAAGAGCCUCAACUUCUCUGUCUCGGUUCAUUUUUAAUCCAUCUCUUAAUGCAGUCCCCUCUGCAGCUGCAUGGAUAUACUGGAUGGCUGUGGGCAGCUAAAACUAACCAUCGCACACGCUUUCUGAUCAACGGGGACAGCAAUAAAAGCAGAAAGGGCAAUUACGUUAAUGGAAAAUACCCAGAAGAUGAAGAUGGGGAAGAAGGAAGCCUGACCGUCUCUUCCCCUCCUGCCGCUAAAGAAACCCCUGGGGCCGAUAACUCAGGUGACGUGGGUUUGUGUCCUGGCUCUGCCACGCGCUCGCUGAGUGACCCUCGGCAGCUCGUGCAAAGCGCUCUGCCCUCUUUCCCCAUUGAGAAAGCGGAAAAGGAAUUUGUUCCCCCCCUGCCCCUGCCUUUUUUCCAGGGUGCAGCUCUGCUUGCAACCCGCAGUGGUGCAGGGCAGCACCAUAAGUCCAGCAACUGCCUUGGCGGGUCCUGCACCCUCGUGUUAAAUUGUUCCUUCCCAGACACCAGCGCUCCUGUCCUGAAGCUGGCCCUGCCGGGAGGUCGCACCAGAGCUUGCAGGCAUGGCCCAGGCACGCUGUCCAAGCCUGAAAACUGGCCAAGGCUCACGUCCCGAGCAGGAGAAACUCCCAACCGUGCCAUGCUUGCUUGAAAGUCACUCCUAGAAGUCAAACUUAAGCAAGCUGAGCCAUCCCGUAAGUUUUCUCAUUCGCCUUUCUUAGGUCCAUGUGUCCCAAAUGCCCAUAUUUUCUCUUGGGAGUGUUUUAGAGCUGUGCACUGUCUCCUCAGAGCUAGCUUUCCGUUUGCCCUUUCUCCCCGCAGAAGUCCUCUUCUAGCUGUUCAAAGCAGAACCUUAAAAAAAAAAUCUCAAUUUUUGAGGAAUGCCAAUUCUUACGUUUUUAGGAUUUACCCCCCAUGGCCCCUGAUUGGAAAGAGCAGCUCAUCGUUUGCUCUUGCUGCCCAGGCACGUACACGCACAGCCAGUGACGAGGGAGCACCCUCCCCCCCAAAUGUGCCUCCUGACCUGCUGCGUGGAGCAAGGGACACAAGAGGAGGAUGAAGGUCUUCUGCAAACGGACUCAAAAAGCUCUUAGGCUGUUUUGAGACGUGAAGGGACCCACUGGUGGGCCGACCACCUAGGACAAACCUAGGCAGGGGAUAAAUGGCCCAAGCAGGCAACUCCUCCCCGCUUGUCUCACGAGUGGAGAUGCGGCGCGUGGGGAAAGAGCCAUCCCACCCAGCAAUUUAGCCCCGAGCGGCUGGACCAACAGCUGGGCUGAUUCCCCUCUUGAAAUGUGAAGGGGGGUGUGUCAAGAUGAUGAGGCCAAUCUUCUCCGCGGUGCCCAGCAACAGGACAAGAGGCAACAGGCACAAACUGAACCACAGGAAGUUCCAUCUGAACCUGAGGAACAACUUCUUUCCUGGGAGGGUGACAGAGCACUGGAACAGGUUGCCCAGCGAGGUAGUGGAGUCUCCUUCGCUGGAGAUAUUCAAAACCCGUCUGGAUGCCAUCCUGGGCAACAUGCUCUGGAGGACCCUGCUUGAGCAGGGAGGUUGGACUAGAUGAUCUCCAGAGGUCCCUCCCAACCUCAACCAUUCUGUCAUCUAGUUUUCCAGUUUAAAAGCCUGAAUCCAAAUCUAGGCUUCUAUUU